Molecule: ribosomal RNA, 471 nt
Filed under: marine sediment bacterium ISA-7173
Lineage: Bacteria
Description: bacterial SSU rRNA
Rfam family: Bacterial small subunit ribosomal RNA
Source: RNAcentral
GCCUAAUACAAUGCAAGUCGAGCGAAUGGAUUAAGAGCUUGCUCUUAUGAAGUUAGCGGCGGACGGGUGAGUAACACGUGGGUAACCUGCCCAUAAGACUGGGAUAACUCCGGGAAACCGGGGCUAAUACCGGAUAACAUUUUGAACCGCAUGGUUCGAAAUUGAAAGGCGGCUUCGGCUGUCACUUAUGGAUGGACCCGCGUCGCAUUAGCUAGUUGGUGAGGUAACGGCUCACCAAGGCAACGAUGCGUAGCCGACCUGAGAGGGUGAUCGGCCACACUGGGACUGAGACACGGCCCAGACUCCUACGGGAGGCAGCAGUAGGGAAUCUUCCGCAAUGGACGAAAGUCUGACGGAGCAACGCCGCGUGAGUGAUGAAGGCUUUCGGGUCGUAAAACUCUGUUGUUAGGGAAGAACAAGUGCUAGUUGAAUAAGCUGGCACCUUGACGGUACCUAACCAGAAAGCCACGG